This 253-nucleotide ribosomal RNA is filed under the name uncultured bacterium. RNAcentral describes it as "partial 16S ribosomal RNA". It matches the Rfam family "Bacterial small subunit ribosomal RNA", at positions 524 to 776 of the family's 1533-position model. The record is from RNAcentral.
UACGUAGGUGGCAAGCGUUGUCCGGAUUUAUUGGGCGUAAAGCGCGCGCAGGUGGUUCGUUGCGUCCGAGGUGAAAUCUCCCGGCUCAACUGGGAGGGGUCUUCGGAUACGGGCGGACUUGAGGAGAGCAGAGGUAGGCGGAAUGCUGGGUGUAGCGGUGAAAUGCGUAGAUAUUGGGAGGAACACCAGUGGCGAAGGCGGCUCACUGGACCGGUACUGACGCUGAGGCGCGAAAGCGUGGGGAGCAAACAGG